RNAcentral lists this ribosomal RNA (662 nucleotides) under uncultured Actinomycetes bacterium. RNAcentral's name for it is "bacterial SSU rRNA". It matches the Rfam family "Bacterial small subunit ribosomal RNA", at positions 232 to 885 of the family's 1533-position model. The record is from RNAcentral. Lineage: Bacteria; Bacillati; Actinomycetota; Actinomycetes.
CGCGGCCUAUCAGCUUGUUGGUGAGGUAACGGCUCACCAAGGCUUCGAUGGGUAGCCGGCCUGAGAGGGCGAUCGGCCACACUGGAACUGAGACACGGUCCAGACUCCUACGGGAGGCAGCAGUGAGGAAUUUUGCGCAAUGGGGGAAACCCUGACGCAGCGACGCCGCGUGGAGGACGAAGGCCUUCGGGUCGUAAACUCCUGUCAAGAGGGACGAAAGCCGUGGGGAUGAAUAAGCCUUACGGUUGACGGUACCUCUGGAGGAAGCCCCGGCUAACUCCGUGCCAGCAGCCGCGGUAAUACGGAGGGGGCCAGCGUUGUUCGGAAUUACUGGGCAUAAGGGCGCGUAGGCGGCCGGGCAAGUCGGAGGUGAAAUCCCUCGGCUCAACCGAGGAAUUGCCCCCGAUACUGCCUGGCUUGAGUCCCGGAGAGGGUAGCGGAAUUCCUAGUGUAGCGGUGAAAUGCGUAGAUAUUAGGAGGAACACCAGUGGCGAAGGCGGCUACCUGGACGGGUACUGACGCUGAGGCGCGAAAGCGUGGGGAGCAAACAGGAUUAGAUACCCUGGUAGUCCACGCUGUAAACGUUGGGCACUUGGUGUUGCGGGUAUCGACCCCUGCAGUGCCGAAGCUAACGCAUUAAGUGCCCCGCCUGGGGAGUACGG